GUUAUAUACUCUAUGUUACAAGUCCCGACUAGGCAGUGUCAAAACGACAUCUAUUUCUUUGCUUGCUUUGUGAUCAUACCCCUUGGAGGCGUUACAGGUCUCGUGGCAUUUGGCUUCUUUUUCUCUGCAGGCUUUAAAAUCUGAAAAGAACACAUUAGUGUUUCAUCCACACUCAUCAUGGCACCUGCAUUGUCAAACUCUCCGCAAUAAUUGGGCGCAGAAAACAGAGUGACCAACUG
RNAcentral lists this long non-coding RNA (239 nucleotides) under Homo sapiens (human). Its description in RNAcentral is "LNC_000869". Lineage: Eukaryota; Metazoa; Chordata; Mammalia; Primates; Hominidae. The record is from RNAcentral.